This 299-nucleotide ribosomal RNA is filed under the name uncultured Gammaproteobacteria bacterium. RNAcentral describes it as "partial 16S ribosomal RNA". It matches the Rfam family "Bacterial small subunit ribosomal RNA", at positions 376 to 671 of the family's 1533-position model. The record is from RNAcentral. Lineage: Bacteria; Pseudomonadati; Pseudomonadota; Gammaproteobacteria.
CGCAGCCUGAUGCACCAUGCCGCGUGUGUGAAGAAGGCUCUAGGGUUGUAAAGCACUUUCAGUAGGAGGAAAAGCUUAAAACUAAUAAUUUUAAGCCUUGACGUUACCUACAGAAAAGCACCGGCAAACUCCGUGCCGGCAGCCGCGGUAAUACGGAGGGUGCAAGCGUUAAUCGGAAUUACUGGGCGUAAAGCGCGCGUAUGUGGUUUUAUAAGCUAGCUGUGAAAGCCCCGGGCUCAACCUGGGAACUGCAUUUAAACUGUUUGACUAGAGUAUGAUUUAUUUGUGUUUUAAUUUCC